AUGAUGGAUGUUAAUAUUGACACCCGAGCCUACUCUCCAUAUCAGGCCCUCCUUUGCAAAUCCCGGCCAUGCAAAAUGCUCCUGAAGGUGAAAGAACCCGAAGCUGGACAGGAAGCGGACAAGAUUGAGUCAUCUUUAAAAUACCUCGCUUUAAGCACCCUAGCACAUAGAGAAGUUGGGACUUCAAGGAUACGCCAUGCUUGUUUCGCCAACAACGCUUGGUUGAAAGCCUCGGGGUCACGAAACCCCAUGCCCCCAUCCCUCUUGCUCGCACACAUCUUCUGCCAAGCGAUCCAAUGGACCCUUCUCUCACCAUUCAUUGCACCCCACCAGAAUUUGGACGAGAUUGAAGUCAGGUUCCGGCACAUUUUCUUCGAGAGGUGA
This 384-nucleotide ribosomal RNA is filed under the name Triticum aestivum (bread wheat). Its description in RNAcentral is "partial small subunit ribosomal RNA". Lineage: Eukaryota; Viridiplantae; Streptophyta; Magnoliopsida; Poales; Poaceae. The record is from RNAcentral.